Molecule: ribosomal RNA, 440 nt
Filed under: uncultured bacterium
Lineage: Bacteria
Description: partial 16S ribosomal RNA
Rfam family: Bacterial small subunit ribosomal RNA
Source: RNAcentral
CCUACGGGAGGCAGCAGUGGGGAAUAUUGCACAAUGGGGGAAACCCUGAUGCAGCGACGCCGCGUGAGUGAAGAAGUAAUUCGUUAUGUAAAGCUCUAUCAGCAGGGAAGAAAAUGACGGUACCUGAGUAAGAAGCCCCGGCUAACUACGGGCCAGCAGCCCCGGUAAUACGUAGGGGGCAAGCGUUAUCCGGUUUUACUGGGGGGAAAGGGAGCGUAGACGGCAGUGCAAGUCUGGAGUGAAAGGCGGGGGCUCAACCCCCGGACUGCCCUGGAAACUGUACGGCUGGAGUGCAGGAGAGGUAAGUGGAAUUCCUAGUGUAGCGGUGAAAUGCGUAGAUAUUAGGAGGAACACCAGUGGCGAAGGCGGCUUACUGGACUGUAACUGACGUUGAGGCUCGAAAGCGUGGGGAGCAAACAGGAUUAGAUACCCUGGUAGUC